CCCUAGCCUCGAUAAAAGUGAAAAUCCUUGUUGUUUUUUCUUUAAAAACAACAAGAUUGUAAUCUCUUCUUUAGGACGAGACGGGAA
RNAcentral lists this small RNA (87 nucleotides) under Flavobacterium sp. 120. Its description in RNAcentral is "Flavo-1 RNA". Lineage: Bacteria; Pseudomonadati; Bacteroidota; Flavobacteriia; Flavobacteriales; Flavobacteriaceae. The record is from RNAcentral.